This 61-nucleotide transfer RNA is filed under the name Helix pomatia (Roman snail). RNAcentral describes it as "tRNA-Leu". Lineage: Eukaryota; Metazoa; Mollusca; Gastropoda; Stylommatophora; Helicidae. The record is from RNAcentral.
AGUGGUUUGGCAGAUAAAUGCACAUGAAUUAGGAUCAUGCUAUAACGUAUGUUAGCUACUA